RNAcentral lists this ribosomal RNA (584 nucleotides) under uncultured bacterium. RNAcentral describes it as "bacterial SSU rRNA". It matches the Rfam family "Bacterial small subunit ribosomal RNA", at positions 102 to 672 of the family's 1533-position model. The record is from RNAcentral.
ACGGGUGAGUAACACGUGGGCAACCUGCCCUUGAGACUGGGAUAACUUCGGGAAACCGGAGCUAAUACCGGAUAAUAUAAGGAACCUCCUGGUUCCUUGUUGAAAGAUGGUUUCGGCUAUCACUUAAGGAUGGGCCCGCGGCGCAUUAGCUAGUUGGUGAGGUAACGGCUCACCAAGGCGACGAUGCGUAGCCGACCUGAGAGGGUGAUCGGCCACACUGGGACUGAGACACGGCCCAGACUCCUACGGGAGGCAGCAGUAGGGAAUCUUCCACAAUGGACGAAAGUCUGAUGGAGCAACGCCGCGUGAGUGAUGAAGGCCUUCGGGUCGUAAAGCUCUGUUGUUAGGGAAGAACAAGUGCGAGAGUAACUGCUCGCACCUUGACGGUACCUAACCAGAAAGCCACGGCUAACUACGUGCCAGCAGCCGCGGUAAUACGUAGGUGGCAAGCGUUAUCCGGAAUUAUUGGGCGUAAAGCGCGCGCAGGUGGUUUCUUAAGUCUGAUGUGAAAGCCCACGGCUCAACCGUGGAGGGUCAUUGGAAACUGGGGAACUUGAGUGCAGAAGAGGAAAGUGGAAUUCCAA